CUCGUUACAGCAUGCUUGUCCCUCAACUUGGUUAAACCAUGUUCCAUCUUGUAAAGUAGAUGUGACAUAACUGUUUGCAUUUUGGCCCUGAACCAUGCUACAGAUGUUGUAAUGUUGAAGAGCCUGAAGUAGCUUAAACUGCAAUGCUGGGGAUCUACUAGGAAGCAGCAGCAGCAGUUCCACCCUCUCAAAAAUAGUAUCAUUAACCCCUUCCCCCCAACUCCAUGAGAUUGCUCCCAUCAUUAAAUACACUGAGCAGUAUGAAUCUAACAUGAGGUAGCUUAAUUUUGGCAAUAUUUUAAGCUGUGGUUAUUUGAGAUCAGGUCAGAAAGUUUUAUGGGGAAGUUAUUCUGACCCUGCUCAUAAACACAUUUGCCAUUUCUAUGUGUGUUUAACACAAAACACUCAGGCAAGAGAGAUAAGGCUAUGGAGAUCUUUCUAAAUUUUUUCAGACAGACAGAUAUACACAUUCAUUUUGAUUUAAACAAACAAAAAAAAAAAGAAACACCCUAGGGAGCCAAAUGAGGGACUGCAUGAAAUGGGCAAAAUUUCAUACAAAGUACCCGAGAUGCCCCCACCUGCCUUAGCAAAGGAUUUAUCCCAAAUACCUUACUGAGUACCAGAAAAAUAAUUAAGAUUUCAUUCUAGGAUAUUUCAGUCUGUACAUCCCCACUUACUGCUCCAGGGACUGCAUGCUGACAAAGCUGCUCCAGUUCCAGCUAUUGCAGAAACUUCUCACGCUCUGCAUGCUGUUCAUUCUCAUGUGGCAUUCUCUUUCACUUUUUUUGUUCCAGCUACUGUUUCUCUUGCCAAUAAAGAUUAGCAUAACCUUCAAGAAAAUCUGGCAGAAGGUCAUGAUCAUUUCAGGGAGAAGUAAACAGACUGAAAAAGCAUAGAAUGAGAUUACUAGAAGAGUGCAAGAACUCUUUGCCCACAAUGUAUAGGUCAUGCUGUCAAACAAAAAUAUAUUGGUAUUUAACUCAGUCAAAACUUACAUAAACUCUGCUAGACAUCUGAGAAGUUGGAUGGGUCUGGAAUUCAGAGCUGCAUUGGACCUUAAAAUUAUUCACAAUCUACAGUCUCUUACCCAACACAGAUCAUUUCUCUGUUACCUAGGGGGUAUAAUUAGGGUGCACAGACAGACGUGUUCAGAGACAGAUUCAUCCCAGCCCAGAAUGGAGGCCUCAGAGGGCAAAGACGCAGAUGGAACCUGGAUGUGGAAGUCUGGAAUAAAUCCCAACCCAAAGGUUAUGCCAAGGGUCUGGGACUGAGCAAGCAGAUUGGUGUUAUUCAUAUUGACUACAGAGAAGGUAAAAGGGAUUAACAGGGAAAAGAUUAAGAGCCUUCAUUUAUCUAUAUCAGAUUUAAGGUAACAUCUGGAAAUUGGUAGAAAGAUCUGAAAGAGACAGUAAUUAAACUCAGUAGCGAAGAAUGUUUCAAGGUAUCUAGCUGGAGUGUGACCUUAAUACUCUGGCACUAUUUUUCAAAUAUAUAUAUAUAUAUUUCAUAUGAGAAGUAUUUGGGGAUAUUGUAAUAAUUAUCAUCACCAUCCAAAGUGCAACUACUACAAAUCACUUCUCUCUGCCAGUUCCUUUCUAUUGAUGUCCCAUGCACAGCCAUUUUUAAGACCUGGAAAAUAAGUUCAUGUGGCUUUCAUGAAAAAAAUGUUUUGGUUCUCUGCUAGGCAACAAUAUAUAUAGUUUCUCUUAAUGUUUUUACUUAAUCACUUCAACUGGCAAAUCUCCUGUGUCCUACCACUGAAACUGUGUCAUUAAUCUGGAAAAGGUCAACCACAAAGUAAAAAUUUAAACUGAGUUAAACACAGUUCAGUUAUAUCAUUCUAUAAAAACUGGGAGGCACAUUCAGAACAUUCAGCCAUCUAACCCUUGUUUUAUCUUACCUCCUUCCAAAAUCCUUUCUUUCCAAAAAAUCCUCAUGGAUGGGUGUGUCCCAGAGUACUUCUUUAACAGUUUCUGAGUUUAAUGCACCUUUAAUCUAUUUGUGUGUCUUUCAGUGGUCCUUUCUAAGUCUUAAAUCUUGAAAUACUACCAUUUUCUUUUUGUUACAGAAGCCUAUAUUUUCCCUCCAUCCAGGAGGAAAUUGAGGCUGCAGGUCUUUGAGAUAAUUUCUGCUAGUCUGACUUCAGGGAAGAACCUCUACCCAUGCUUUCUCUGGGACAAUGACAGGUCUAAAAAGUUCACAGCCAUUUGUCACAAUGUUAGUUAUCUACAUAGAACAGUAAAAGAUACUGAGAAAUCAAUUCAUAAAGCAAUGAAGAAUUUAUGUGCAAAUCUAGUUUAUCAGGCAGGCAAUCAUCAUCUACUUGAGGAACACAUACAGAAGGAUUGGAGAGCCUCAUUAAACUACUCAGGUCAUUUCACCUGCCUCUUUAUCUAAUACAGGUCCUAUUCCAGAAUACAUGUCACCUUUUCAUCCAAUAAGGUUGGUAUAGAUUGCUUUAAAUUAAUCUGUCAGACCUUUUUAAUCUAAUCAAAUCAGUAUGGUUUAUUUCUCAGAAUGAGUCUUCAAAAGACUCCAAAUCACUCUUGGCAGCCAAGGUUAAUCACCCUGUCUGUCUUCUUGAGUCCCUGAACUUUCCCCUUCUUCCAGAUAUCUUAGUAUCAGAAGAAGAUUUUUAACACCUUUAUAUACCCAGGAACACAGUUCCUAGAAAUCUUUUGGAGAUAUCAGAUAAGCUUUACAGCAUGAAUAUGAUGUUCUGCAUAUGUCAUGCUUCCAAAGUAUUCUGAAGUACAUUUUUUUGGCUUCAUUCUCCAAUAUGCCAAGCCCCAUGAACUGUAAGACAAUGUCAUAUGCUAGAAUAUCUUCAUUAUUACUAGAAUAAUUUAAUUAGUUUAUUCUAUUAAUAUGAUAAAUUCCAGUAGUAUUAGUAAUUAAUUUUAACACUUACUCGUACUUUUGUUCCUGCAAAAUAUGCAUCAGGUUUAAUCUGGAGAGUCUAGAAUGUUGUGGAUGGUCUUAAUUUCUGAUUGUUCCUGCCACUCUGUAGCAGACAAAAAUUCCUGUCUGAAUUUACCCCUAGCAAAGUAAAUGGGAGGGUCAAAGGCUUAAGAACCACAAACUCUGUUACACAGAGAAUCUUUAAUAUAUGCUAUAAACAAAAUUUCCUCUUUCCCAGCAGUGAUUAGAUUCAGUUUCAAGGAUGCACCUAACAUACAAAAAUAAUCAUGAAGAAUCAUGAAGGAUUGUAUUUUCAAUUCCAGGCCUUUUAUGGCACCUACUUUCAGGUCAGUGUAGACUCAGAUCUAUGGACCUGUUCUGUGACACCUGUAGGAUUUAAGUUUGUAAUUCAGAGGUACCUAUACCUAAGUAAACAUUUAGGACACAGUCUAUAUUCUAGAAUCUAGAAUAUGGAUUCUAGAUUCUUAAACACCAUCAAUACCAAACAGGUAAGAAUUUUGCCGUAACAUAUUGUUAGAUAAAUUAACACAAACUCCAGAUACUUUUCUACUGCUGUGUAUCUUCAAAUAACAGAAUUAAUCUUGUAAUUCCCUCAAAUCCAUUGAAACUGUAAGAAUUUACAUAAGGACUGAGAUAGUAAUUUAUUUUUAAAACUCAAGAAAGUGCUUCUUUUGUUUUUAGCUGGAAUACAUAGUACAGGUGACAUUUGAUCAGUCCACAUCAGGCUAAUACUGGUUCAGUUCCUUAUUGGAGAAGAGCUGAUCUCCCAUUUAUUCAUUAUUAAUUAAUUAAUUAUUGCUUGAUUAUCCACAGUUUAUAAAACAAUAUCUGCACUCAAUCUUAAAAGAGACAAAUUCUAGCACAUCCCCAAAUUACAGAGUAGGCUCAAUGCCCAUCAUCUGAAAUAAUAUCCCAUCAAUGUUUGCAUAAAAUAGAAACCAAGCCCAACAAUAUCCUCUUGACAAAUGUAGUAGGCAGAGACGCUCCCAAGUACUGCAGUCCACUACCUAUGUUUUCUUUUAAAUCUUCACAGGACCAGAUUCCAUCAGUUAGCCCAAACUGAAGAUAGUUUUUUUCAGGAUUAGGUGACAAAAUCAUCAGUGAUUACCAAGCUAGAUCCGUCUCCCAUUCCCACUGUCUCUUCUCCCAGGUGUUAUACUAUUGACACUUGGUUCACUAAGUAGCUCAUUUUUCUUCUGUUCCUGCAAUCUCAGACUUGUUAGUUGGAGGAACAAGCCCCACCAUGUGAGGAAAUGGCAAAUCUUCACCUCCACACCCCCAUCUCUUCUGUCUUCUGACAAUGUUGUUUUGAUAGCAUACCUGACAGGAAAAUAAAACAAUCUUCAAUAGAGGCUUCA
This 4280-nucleotide long non-coding RNA is filed under the name Anas platyrhynchos platyrhynchos (common mallard). Its description in RNAcentral is "lncRNA (ENSAPLG00000017087.1)". Lineage: Eukaryota; Metazoa; Chordata; Aves; Anseriformes; Anatidae. The record is from RNAcentral.